RNAcentral lists this ribosomal RNA (89 nucleotides) under Acanthosepion pharaonis. Lineage: Eukaryota; Metazoa; Mollusca; Cephalopoda; Sepiida; Sepiidae. The record is from RNAcentral.
CAGUUCUCGUACGCUCACCGAAGUUAAGCAACGUUGAUCUUGGUCAGUACCUAGAUGGGUGACCGCUUUGCAAUACCAGGUGCUGUAAG